AAAUGUUUGUAAAGAAAGGUUAUUGUAUAUACCAUCCAUUUCUCUUCUUAAAUAUUAUCAAUUUCAUUAUAUCACUAGCCGUCAACGUCGCGUUGCCGUCCUAUAUCUUAAGCUCUCUAGUAAACGCCUUCUGAAAUGCCUUAUAAUUUUCGGAGCUUUCUGAUUGGAGAAUUACGGUCACAUCGGAACAUAUGAUAUGAUCAUAGAUAUCUUAUGUACACUAGAUAGCGCAUCUCUUUUAGUAAAAUUGAAGCCAAGAAUAUUCCAGCGGUUACCCCCAUUUGAAUAGAUGGCAGCCAUGUUGGUCGUUCCCA
Molecule: long non-coding RNA, 314 nt
Filed under: Paramuricea clavata
Lineage: Eukaryota; Metazoa; Cnidaria; Anthozoa; Malacalcyonacea; Plexauridae
Source: RNAcentral